Molecule: long non-coding RNA, 611 nt
Filed under: Fukomys damarensis (Damara mole-rat)
Lineage: Eukaryota; Metazoa; Chordata; Mammalia; Rodentia; Bathyergidae
Description: lncRNA (ENSFDAG00000028452.1)
Source: RNAcentral
AUGGGAGGGCUGGGAAGUUCUUGGAGGCUCGUUGUUUCUGGUGUGUCCUCUGGUGCCCAGUGCCUGAGUGCUGGACCUUGUGUCUUUGUACUGCACCUUGAGUUUCCCAAACCUACUACAGGCUGGCCCUCGGUAACCACCUCCCCAGGGCCAAUUCAAGGAGGUGCAGCAGAGGGGGAGAGAGGGAGGAGCCCGGGCGGUGCAGACCGCCUUCCCCAAAGGGGUGGGACGGAGGGGUGUCAGCCUCUGCUCCUUCUGCCCGCAGCUCCCAAGUGCCCGCGUGCUGCACUGGCUGGAGACAGCAGGGAGACGAGUGCGGGAUCGCUGUGUGCGAAGGCAACUCCACGUGCUCGGAGAACGAGGUGUGCGUGCGGCCUGGCGAGUGCCGCUGCCGCCACGGCUAUUUCGGUGCCAACUGCGACACUAGUGAGCCUGGGGCGGGGCCGACGCUGGGCGGCGAGGCGGAGAAACUGGAGAACGAGGGAGAGGGCUGGGGCCGGGGCGGGGUGAGGCCCGAUCCGGAGGAGGCGGAUCCCCUGAGGCCGGAGACAGGGCCCUGGACGGCCGCCCGAGCCGAGAACGGAACUUCCUCCCUCUCCUCCCGCAGAGUG